RNAcentral lists this long non-coding RNA (835 nucleotides) under Olea europaea subsp. europaea. Lineage: Eukaryota; Viridiplantae; Streptophyta; Magnoliopsida; Lamiales; Oleaceae. The record is from RNAcentral.
UGGAAGCUCAAGACUAUGGACGUAUUUGAUAAACUGUACAGAACAUGAUUAUAACUCGUCUUUCCUUUAUUCAUAGUGUCCGAUUUACCAUAUCAACCAUAACACUGAAAUUAUUGUAAUAUAUUCGUGGGCAUGAAAAGUGAAACAAGUUAUAGAAGGUGAUGAAGAGAAAAAGAAAGAGGGGUGAGGUUGGGGGGGGGGGGGGUUACGCUUUGGUAGCAGCAUAGAUGCCCUAAAUAGGAUGAGAAGGUACAACAACGGAUGCACCAGAACCAAUAUUAACAAUUGCACCUUUCUUCCUUGCAACCAUUUCUUCUAUAAUACCUCUUUGUAAUCAAACUUCUAACCUCCACAUUAACUCUCACUAAAUUCAUCCAAAUUUCUUCAUCCACUUCAUGAAAAAACAUUGCUGAUGGAUAUGUAACUCCAAGAUUAUUGAUUAAAACCUCAACAUCCAAACCCUUAAUGCCCUCUUUCAUUUCAAGAAUUCGAUUACGAAAAUCUUGAUCAAUGUAUUGGGAUAUUUGGCUUGAAUUUCAUUACUUACAUUUUUGAGUUUGCUCAAUUUUCUGCUAACUAGUAUUAGGUUUAGACCUUUUUUGGCAAGUUGGAAAGCAAAAGCUUUGCCUAUGCCAUCAGUUGAGCCAGUGAUGAUCAGGGCCCAUGAUCCAUAAUUCUUGAGAUUUUUGGGUUUUCUGAAAAAAUGUUAUGAAGAUCCAUUUGAGAAGGAAAAUUGUGUUCUUGAAGAUAGAGAGAAAGCCUAGAAGAGAAAGAAGAAUUAUCCACACAAAGGUUGUGUUUUUAGAUGAAUAAAGCAGGUUGACAGCAUUUCUUG